AUGGUGAAAAAAAUUAGUCAACUAAGAUCUGAGUACUAGCUGGCUGGUGAGAGGAGGUCUUGCAUUAUGCUAAACAGUUGCUUGUGCUAUCUAUUCAUUCCCAUUUUACUACAUGCAGCCCUGCCCCAAGCACAGAGCUGAUUUCUUUUGCAUGGCAAGCUAUAGAUGGGUACAAAGUUAGUCCCAAAGUCAUGAGACCUGGCUUCUAGUACUUGUUCUCUCCGAGUCCAUUGGGCAACCUUGAGUGAUUAUGACUGCUAUAAUUUUUGAGUACUCAUAUAUUCCAUGCACUCAUCUUGCAUUCUGGGAAUUAAACGAUCUGCAUUGGGAAACGCCCAUUUGUAGAUGUUAUUUUUAGACUUCAAUCCUUUUUAUAUUUCCUUGAGUUUAUAUUUCAGCAAGACUGAUUAAUGAAUAAAUGGAUCAUUAUUAGGCAUAAUUUAAUUAAGAUUUAUAAGGAUCAUCUAGAAUUAUCUCAAUAUUUUUCAAUACAUUCACCUUACUUUUUACACCUGGUAAACAUAAGAUAUCUUGAGUCUUCCAGGGGCCAUAAUGUUUGUCAGCAGCAGUCUUGGGGGCAGGUAUGGUAUGUUUCAAAUAAUGCAUAAAGUUUAAAUGCUAGACCUUUUCCUAUAUUUUUCUGUUUGGUGUGAAUUUGUCAAAGUGGUACAUUUAUCACCGUUUUUAAAGGAUAAUGUAGUUGGCUGAAUCUCAAUAAUAUGGGAGACAGUUGUAAACUUUGGAAUGAUUUUUACCUUGUAGAAUUAAAAACUUUCCCAUGAACAUUGCCUGCUGGUGCAUAUAGUUGCCACAUGUGGGCCAUGUCUCUAUAGUGCUUUGCUAGCUAUUGUAUCUAAGCACUAAUGGAUAUUGAGUUCUGCCUCUGCAUUUUCUGCAAGAUGGCACUGCAAUUGAAAGUUAAAGGUCUGUGUAAUUUUUUUAAAGGUUAAAUUAACCUGAAACAGAAGAAAACUAAAGCUAACCUUAGCUGCUUUCUUGGCUCUGUUCUCUUGGUUUUUAAUGGGAUCAGGGUGUUUCAUGGAGCAUAGGAAUGUUUGGUGUUUCUUGCAUGAGCUGUACCUUAGCCAUUAUCUUUCAUAGUCUCCAACAAUCAAACAAAGGGAGCCAAUUCUCUAUUUCAAUCUUGUGCCUUUGUUUGAUGUUUAUUUGAUGAUUGACUUUUAAAACCAACCCUGACUGUUGAGAUCUCACUAUUGUAAGUCAAAGUGAGAGUAAUGAAAAUAUAAAUGUUUCCCUUCUGUUUUGGGGAGAAGGGUGAGUAAAAAGAAUGACCCUGAUGACUUUCAUUGUACUUAGUAUAAAAGAAGAGAAGCCAUCACAUUGUCCAUAUAAUGCAGAUAGCAUGUGGCAUAGGUUGGGAUUUGAUACAUGUCCAAUAUAUGAGUGAGAAGUACGAAGAUGUCAGAAAAGAGAAUCAAGAGCUAGAUUCAUGGGCAACUAGCAAAGGACUAUCACAUAUUUCCUUAAAUAUUAUGCAUUCUUGAGAGAUAAUGUAGUAUUCUAAUUAUAUUAGAAUUUAAAUCUAACUGAUUUUAUGCUAAUGAACUUAGAAUGUAGUACUAUAAUCCAUGACAUUAUCAAUUGUAGCUUGAUUUUACCCAUGUUGGGGCACACCUAUGUCCAUUCUACUAUGUGUUUUUUGACUAGCCAAGCUUUUUCUAUCUCUGGUAAAAAAUAGAGAAUUCUAUAAAGUUAAUGUGAGGAAAACUGUUUAGGUAAAUGUAAAACAGUGAGAUCCUUCUCUCAAGCCCCUGGGUGGGAUGGAGAGAGAAAACAACGACCCCUAGGCAAUUUUCUGGUGAGAAUUACAAGGUACAAGAUUAGCUCAACUGGUUCCAGCAUCACAUGGGCCUUCCUAGCAUUAAUAAUUACACACAUAUAUUAUACUCAAUAAACACUCCUUAAAGUCUGAAGUUGAAUAAUUAAAUAGAAUAAUAGUCCCCUUACUAUCCAAAGCUUUGGAUGCCUAUGUUGAAGUGCAAUUCAAGGACAGUAAAUGAAAAAUUCCAGAAAUUGGAAAUUCAUAAGCUUUAAACUUCAUUGUGAAGCCUUGUAUCAUCAUUCCCUUUCCAUAUGGAGUUGUGAGCGAUUGCUCUCUCCAGUGUAUCCAUGUAGUAAAGCUAUCCAUCCAUUACUCAUUUAGUAGCUUUCUUCAUUGUCAGACAGACUGUUGCAGGCAAUAGCCCUUGACUAAGCUUUAUUUUAUUUAAUAAUGGCCUCAAAGUACAGGAGCAGCAAUGCUUGGAAAAGAAGCUAUAAAGUGAUAAGCUGAAAGUCUCUACUU
This 2305-nucleotide long non-coding RNA is filed under the name Mus musculus (house mouse). Its description in RNAcentral is "long non-coding RNA chr8:65676507-65678812". Lineage: Eukaryota; Metazoa; Chordata; Mammalia; Rodentia; Muridae. The record is from RNAcentral.